Molecule: long non-coding RNA, 10580 nt
Organism: Gallus gallus (chicken)
Lineage: Eukaryota; Metazoa; Chordata; Aves; Galliformes; Phasianidae
Exons: 3
Source: RefSeq, a predicted model, not a curated record
UCCUCAGGUGCUUGCCCAGGUUGUGAAGGCCACAGAUGGAGCACUGCUGACCUCCCGGGUAAGAUGCAGCAGUGAUUUCAUGGAAUAGAGAGGAGUUUUGUCUGUGACACAAAGAGGAGGACACAGCCGUACUAAGGGUAGCUUUGGGCUCUGUAUAUUUGCUCAGUAAGAGAUUUUUCCACCUUCUCCUGCUGGAAGCACUUAAUUCAAGCUGAAGCAGCUUAGAUAUAUGCAGAGAUCUGUUUGUGUGCGCCAUGCAUACAUAUAUGCAUGGAGAUACACGCAAAGCAUGCAGGCAGCUGUACAUUUGCGGUGUUAUAUUUCCUUAGGGACUCACUGAUCUCAAGCCACUGCACAGAGCAGUCCCUGGAACAGCUUUCUGAUGGAAGGUCAAGAGUGAUCUCCUGUUGGCCAUUUAACAAGAGGUGGAGUGAGAUUGAGAUCUCCGAGGCCUUGAACAUUCAGCCUUCUCCUUUCUCCAGCCUAUUUGCUUUUCAUUUUCACAUUAUGUAUGAGAUUAGAUCCUCCGAUAAAAAUACUCACUGUGGAAGUAUUGUCCGAAGUGGAUACUCUGACAACCAUGGCCAGUAUCCCUUCAGAAGUAUCAGGAUGCUCACAAGUAAGUAUAUAACCAAAAUAAGGUCAGAAUUGGAGGCAGGAGAGAAGCAGGGUCAGGGCAGUGAAGUGGAGGAGGAAGUCAUAAAAUUCCCCUGCAUUAUCUGCACCCAAUUCCUACUGCCUCUGAAUCACACAGUGUGCAGAAACAGCUCACAGUCAUCUGCAAGAAGUCAUCACAUUUGUAACCAUUGUCCCUUUUACCCAAGAAUUUGCAUGGUUAAACUAUUAGUGCUGCAAUAUCUUGAUCCAUACGCAAAUUAUACCUCUACUAUGUAGGGUGUAAUUCCUCUAAUCCAAUUUAGAUGUUGAACAUUGCUGGGGAGAAAAUCUAAUGCAACAAACCAGACCUUUAUCCACCAAGGGAGAUGAAAAAUCAUCAUUGCUUCAGUCUGAAUAUAUCUAAUUCAACCACAAAUUGCUAGGCUGAGAAGAGUCCACUGAGCAACCAGGAAGGCUAAUUUCUCCCUUGCAGGAAUUAUCAUAUUAAACUCCCUGACCUGGGUUAGCCAGGAGGUCAGAUUAGAUUAUCGCUGUCCCAAAUUCUGGUCUCAGAAACCAGCUUUCAGUGCCAAUCUGGCUGAAAUCCCAGGUAAACAUCAUGAAAGAAGUGCGGGCGUGUGGUUAGGAUAUCUCAUUUCUGUGUGCUGUGGUGGAUGAGCCAGCUGGCUGCUGUCGGUAAGAAGGCAGCAGAACUUCCUGAAAAUGGGAAAAUCUUCACCAGAUGUCGAGAAGCUGCUUAUGGCCACAGUGGGUCAACAUGGGCCCCCCAGCAUGGCACGUGUUUUCAGGCUGGCAGCUCCUGCUGCUCAGGUGGGGUUCUCAAAUGCCCUGAGUUUGGUUAAACAGGUUUGAGAAGAUGAGGGGAAAUGGUUUCAAACUAAAAGAGGAGAGGUUACAUUGGAUAUAUGGAAAAAGGUUUUUAUGUUAAGAGUAGUGUGGCACUGGAAGGUCCAGAGAUACAGUGGAUGCCCCAUUCUUGGAGACACUCAAGGUCAGGCUGGAUGGGGCUCUGAGUACCCUGAUGGAGCUGUGGGUGUCUCUGUUCAUUGCGGGGGAGUUGGACCACAUAUUCUUUAAGGAUCCCUUCCAACUAAAACAAUUCUAUGGUUCUACAAAGACCCCUUUGGGAGCACCUCCUGUUUGAAAGGCAGAGGCAGAUGUUAUCAGCAGGCCUUGGGCUCCCUUCUGAGGUGCCAAGAAAUCACACAGUGAUUGACUCUUCCCUGACUUGUCCACCAAAUGCUCUGUGUCACCCAGAAGAGGACAAGUCCUCUGCCUCCGACCGCCUGUCCCUUCCCCACUCCCGGAACGGUGGUGAACAGCAGGGCUGUGACUAAUGGCAGCAUGAAGCUGUUGGCCAUCUAAAUCAGGCACUGAAUCAGAAAGAGCAGGGAAAAAAAAGGGUAUCUGAACCAGCUCUGAUCACGCACAGGCCACAGCAGGAUCAGCUGGGUAUGUCACUGACUCACAGGUGAACGUGUGACACUGUGAGCGCUGGCAUCAGCGCUGCUCCCAGUCUGUGCGGGAAAGCAGCAACAUGGAGACUUUCCCACGUGCAUUCCUUGCUCAGCACAUGAUGAAGUUUGAUCAGAAGACAUGGCACAGGAGCAGAAUGAUAUUCUUAGGAGGAACAUGAAAAAAAAAAAACAAACAACAAGAAAAAACAGUGCAGUAAAUUCUUGCUUGCAAAGAGUGGUAUUUCCAUGUGCAGGCUUGCUCCACCUGCAAUUUUACAUGUGUGUGGUGAUUGCUGAUAUGAUGCCUCUGGUUAAGAUGCUUGAUCUGAGCUUUGGGAAAAUCCCUUCCUUAUUAAUCCAUUAUUUGAUAUACAUGCAAAGUAGCAUAUAAUGUAGCCUCAAUCCACAGAGAUUUGUGCCUUCGGGGCUGCAGGUAUCUGAGGGAUGAAGGAGAGAGAAAAGCCAACAGCUGAGUGCCCUGCUUCUGGGCAGUCAUUGGGGUUGUGCCGUGAUUGGCAGCACAGUGGUGGUCAGCCUAGGGAUUUGAGGCAGAAAAGCAUUUCCAAAGGAGUGUUGUCCACCCUCUGCAGAGCUCGUCUUGGUAAGAGAUCUGAGCAUGACGGACAACCAACUAAAAAGCCACUGCUCCAUAGUGAGGAAGCUGCUGUUGGCCAGCAGUGACAUCCCAGCCCUCCAUACACACUGUGCCAUUGGAGCAGUGGAAUGAGGUGAGCUUUCCCGAUGGUGUUCCAGGCACAGGACUGCAGGUACCCCUCUGGGGUGCUGACUGAUAUGGCAGUAUUGCAAACAGAGCAUCCCCAGACUAAUGAUAGCCAAAAAAAAGCAUUGGGAGUGGAGCUCAGAGGAGAGCAUCCUGACCAGGUCCUGCAGUUUGGGGUGCACAUCCCUGCUGUGCCUGAUGAGAUUUACAUAGAGCCAGCUGCACUUCUGACUGCACCACAGUGACUUGCAACGUUUUAAAGUUAAGCAAACAGUUAUUUGCAGAACCAGGUCCUAAAGUGAGACGCGAUGCAAAGUAAGUGUAGUGGAAGAAGGAGAGGGGGUGGGAAGAGAUGGAACAAUGCUCUGUAAAAUCAACCAGCAGUGUAAGUGUGCCUGCUUCAACUGUUACCAAUCUGGGUGUUAUUUCAGACAUACCAGAUAGAGGAGGUAAAUGCCAGAAGCCCAAGGAUGUCGAGAGCCCACCACAAGCCCACAGGAUAACAAAUCUACUGUCUGGUUCUCAGGCAUCUGGAACCCCACUUGCACUUCACUGUGACAUGUGCAGGAAUGCUUGGUGGAGCCUCAUGGGGUCUUUGUGUUGCAUCUUUACAACCCACCCUGGGAGCUGCAUGUGCUGGGCUGUCCUGGUGUGGACACUGCCAAGACAAGUACAGGGUGACUGCAGCCCCCUGCUUUUCCAUUGGUUUAGCACAUCUUCUGUUGUUUAUCCUGAUCUCUGUGCAAAAAAUGACCUCUGUCUUUUGCAGUGAAGAAGACGAUUGCUCAGAGCAUCACCAGCCAGCAUCCUCAGCAGCUUCUGCAGCACCUCUGGGUGCCAGCGCAGCCCUGUGCAAUCCUUGCAGUAGCCUGUUUCUAUGGAUAUGUGAGUUCUAGCCUGUGCUGGCUCAUGCAGAUGCCCCAGAAGGGUGGUGGAUGAGGUGCAGCCACCCUUCACAGACUCUUUUGUUAUGUGUUCAUGAAUAACCAUGAUCCUGGUUUCCAAGUCUCUGCUCAGUCCACGCCAGCUCUUCUCAGGCAAUGCAAUCUGUGCUCCUCCAUCAUCAGAACCAGCACCUCCUCUAUCCCAAACAUAUAUUUGUUUCUACAGUAAAGAGUCCUAACCUUCUUCCAUUCUGGAAUGGAUGGAAAAUGCCCACUGUCCUGUCCUCCUUUUCUGAGUCCUGGCUCUGGUCUCUCCAUGAAGAAAUGGGGUUGAAAGAUCCUAUCUCAAGUGAAGCUGCAGCUAAUGCAAGCUGCAGUUAAUGAAAACUGCGCUGAGCACUGAGCUCCUGGUGCUACCGAAGCUCUCUGCCUUUCCCAGACUUCCUGGGAAGUGUUUUGAACUUUAUUUUUAAAAGCGCAAUUAAUCACGGAGCAGAGCUUGAAAUCAGUCCAAGUGCAAUAAAAGCACCCGAGCGGGGCUCAGCCCAGCGAGCAUUGUUUGCCACGGCCUGACUUCAGGCAUGGGGAAACUUUUCAGAUGUGCUAACUUUGCAGCUCCUGGCUCCUGCAGGAAUCUUAACUGCUACCAUCUGUACGAGGGAGCAGCUAUGGAAGAGCAGCUCUCCCUCUCCCUUUAUGUACAUUCCUCGGAGCACCCAUUUAGCAUCCUCUGCAUUUUCUCACCCUCGCUGACUGAAGGCUUUGCCCUACAAAGGUGCUGUUUCUUUGUGCUUCCAUCCCUCAAGGGGUAUGCUGAGGACUGGCAGCAUCUUUGCGGAGCCCCUCGGUCGCGCCCCUCCAUCUGUUGCUGGUCUCCAUGUGGUUUACAAGACGCUACAGGAAGGCAUUUUCUCACGCUAUUAAGUUUUCACUAGAUGCGGAGGGGGAUCAGGAAUGCCUCGGACGGCGUAAAAAAUCCCUUCUCGGCUCAGUUAUUAGGAUCUAGCAGCAGCAGCAAGCAAAAUUAUAGCCUCCAUGAAAUCCGAGUCUGCUGCCUUGCCAUGGGCUAGGGGUGCUCUUCCAGGUAUGCCUGGAUGCCUCCCAGACCAGUCCUCCUUCCCUUAUCUGCCUCUCUUUUUGGAGCAGAGGUUGGUUGCCUUCUGCUGUGUGUCCAUCAGAUAUUGGGGUAUGGUUUUGCUUGGCUGCUCUAGGAACAACACCAGCAAUAAUGCCCACUGCAGUGAAAAGACCAGGGCUAUACCCUCGGGCUGAACCCUACAACCUGCCUGGAUGUGCUGAUUGUCAUUCAUCUCCAGGAGAGCUCAGUUGGCUUUCCUCACCUUUGUUUCUUUCCCCAAGAAACAUUCUUGGGCAAUGAAGCUCUGAAGGGUCUGGAGCACAGAUCUUACAUGGAGUUGCUGAAGGAAGUGGGAUUGUUCAGUCCAGAGAAGAGGAGGCUCAGGGGAGACCUUGUAGCUCUCUACAACUCCCAGAAAGUUAGCUGUAGACAAGUGAAAGUUGGACUCUUCUCCCAGGUAACAGUGAUAGGAAGAGAAGUAACAGCCUUAGGUUGCACCAGGGAAGGUUCAGGUUGGAUAUUAGGAAAGAUUUCUUCUCAGAAAGAGUAGUAAUGCACUGGAAUGGGCUGCGCAGGGAGGUGGGGGAGUCACUGUCCCUGGAGGGUGGAUGUGGCACGGAGGGUCAUGGCCUAGUGUGGCCACAGGAACAGGUUGGUAGUUGGACUAGAGAAUCUUAUUGGUCUUUCCAACCUUAAUGAUUCUGUGAUCCUCAUGCAUUGUCUCCACAGAAGGUUCUAAUCAUCCUAACUACACUCAGCACUUGUAAAGUACUCUGCAUACCAGAAGCCCCUCACAGAUGUAAACUAGUUCGCCUUUCCAAGACUUACAUGGAGGUGAGCAGGAGCUACAGCUCCAUUUUGCAGCUGGAGAGGCUGACACAUGGAGGUUCAUGGCUACACUCAGGGCCACACAAGGGCUAGCACAGCUGGGAUCAGACAUCUCUGGUUCUUAAACUGUGCUUAAACCACCAAACCUCAUUGCAGGGGCACACUAGAGGGACUGGAUCCAAACCAAAAUGAGCAGUGCCCAGGACUAUAUAUAAUUUCUCCUGAUUCUGCAAAGCUUGUGCGAAGUACAGAAAAGGCUGGUGUCAUCCUGGGUUUAUGGUUGUGUUUCCUUCAGAAACCCCACAGAUCAUUCACCCCCCUGGUACUCAAAUAAGUUCUAGAAAUGAAAAGCUGUUGAAGCAGCGUAUGUGAGUGGACUUUGUGCCUGGGCAAGGACUAUGUCUGUAGCAUUGUAUCACAACAAUAACAGUAAUGAAGAGCAACACUCAAAAGCAAGCCUAUGCACAAGGCCUUGAAAUAACAGAUCAACUAAUAGAAAAGCAGGAAGAACAGGGAGAGGGGAUAGGAGAAGCCCAAUAUGAAUGACUUUGGUAAUCCGGCCCUCUCUGGUGGAAGCUGAAAGGAGAGACUGUUUCCCUACCAGUCAUUUCACUAUGACUAAGCUACAUUUGCACCCUAAUAAAAAGCUGAACCUAAGUGUUCAAGAGGUAACUUUGUCUGCCUCACGCUCCUGGCCAGAAGGACUAUUCACAGCCCAACCAUAGUUCACCACACUUCCCCAUGUUUUCUGUGUAAUAUUCUGCUCUGCGUCUCCAAAACGCUUCCCUUUGUGCGGGUUCAGCUUCUUGCCCCUGUACGGUGAAGGAAGGGGAAUGUGACUCAGCCCCACUCACACCAAGGAGCUACGGUCACCCUGCUAGCAAGCCAGGUCUGAUGUCCACAGGCUGUACAAGCCCCAGGCGAUGUCUUCUGAGAGCAGAGCUAGUUUGAUCACCGCCGUGUCAAAGGAGAGACAGGAUGCACAGACAUCUGAGUUAGUCAUCCUGGCUUCAAACCCACAGGAUAUCUCAAGUGACUGAAAUGUAGGUGGAAAGCCAGGCUUAAACUAUACGUCUGCGGAUUUCAGCAUUAGGCGAUCAACCUCACAGAGGCCCAACACAAGAUGGCCAAGUAGGUAACCCCAAAUGACAGCAGAACAACUGCCAGAUGGAGUUGCUAGCUCCUAAUUUGUCUGGUAUCACUGGUGGCAGACAACAACCAGGCUUUAUUAUGACACUGUCAGAGCAGAGAAAUCAUGGUCAUGGGGGAAAAAAGUCUCAAGGGCAAGAUUUUCUGAAUAUGCAGCACUCCGAUGAGUUUGCUCCCAUCUCAGGACUCCUCUGUCUUCCAGAGGAAGGACAGCAAGUUGCUGAAAGUAAAGCAAAUUCCCAUCCCCUGGGGUAUCAGCUUCAGAGGACAGCGUGGGGUGUGCCUGUAGGAGUUAGCGGAGAGAGGACAGCAUGCAGAGAGCUGGACUGUUUUAGGGGAGAGAGACUUUGCAGAAGGCACAAGGUAAAUCUGUGACAGAACUCUGACAUCAGUCCUCAUUUUUUUGCUUGCCUGUUUUGCUUUUCAGCUGAUUAUGCAAUUUUGAAAUCAAGAAGAUGAUCCUGUCUUCUCCAUUUUCCUGCCAGUACAGUUUCUGUGUCUGAGGACAGUUCCAAAAGCAGAGCAUCGGAAGUGAGAUGUGAAAUGAGAAUUCAGAUUUUACAUUAGAGUUAGGAAUGGUGAAGGACUGUUGGCUCACCCUCUCCGCUUUCCAUGCAGGACAAAUUCACUGACUUCCAUUUUCAGUGCCUUCUCUAUUUGCUUUAUCUGAUAGAACAGAUGUUUCUCUUGGAGAUUAAAGUGUGAUUGAGCAGCAAAGAGCUAAAAUAUAUCUAAGGAACAUGGAUGUGUCUAAACAAGGUAAAACAAAGCAAGGAUUUUACUAUCUGACUUAUGCAGAAGAUGGCAAGAGAUUUAUCUGAGUAGCCUUUGUAAUGUAUGCUAAUGAUGAGUGUCAUAAAGGGAACUGAAAAGCAAACUGGAAGGCAACAUCUAUGACAGCUGUGACAAAGUGGAAAUAAUUCAAUGUCACUCAUUAAGGGUGACCAUUUCUCAGUUCAUUGACCCUAAAACAGGCUCCAGCUGUAUUUCACCUAUGUAGAAGAGUCAGCCAUCGCCAUUUCACAAACAUCUUUCCAUCAAGUUUUUCACUGGAAAUAAAAUCAAGACCAUUUGCUUGAACUAACCUGUGGUAGUCCUACAGAAUGCCAGUGAUGUGCUGGUGAAUUUCAAGCUAUCACCCUCAGACAUCUUCCCAGCUAGAAGGUUCUUCUUUCCUUGUAUUCUUACUCUUUUGUCCCACUCGUACACCCAGCAGAGACAAAGAGACUGGCCCCCUCCAGUGUCACAGCCUGGUGCCACAAGCAACCUCCUUAAUAUCCGCAUAAAGUACGUAGAGUUGUUGCGUGCUGAAUGUUUUCUAGUGCUGAUUUUCUUUAUAAUGCUCCUCAUUUCAGGGAAUGCUUGCAAUUCCUUGUGGCUGAUGGCUCUACAGAUGUUGCACCACAGCCGUGAUGGCAGCUGGAGCGUACAAUGUGAGAACUGAAACUCUGCCCAAAGCAUCUGCAGAAACCCAGGAAAAUAAGUCAUUCUUAUCCCAUCCUAUCCACUCAAAUGCUGGAGUACACUCGUGGACUGCCGUGGCCAGAUGGCAGCCUUUGCAACAUUCAUUUCUGCAGCUAUUCAAUAUACUAUGAAGAUUUUCUUUAGGAUCCACACUGAAUAGCAUUUGCCAGGCUAAACCUACUCCACUGGCCUGACUUGCUUUGGUCAUAGAAUGGCUUGGGCUGGAAGGGACCUCAAAGCCCAUCCAGCCUCUGGCCACUGCCACAGGCAAGGUUGCCCCCCACCAGCUCAGGCUGCCCAGGGCCCACCCAGCCUGGCCUUGUGUACCUCCAAGGAUAGGGCACCCACAGCUCUCUGUGCAACCUGUGCCAGUGGCUCGCCUCCCUCUAAACAAACUCCCUCUAAACAACUCGCCUCCCUCUAAACAAACAUGGCAGGGUCUGUGUCAGUCAUCUUUUCAUGAGGAAAAGCAAAUAAAAAGAGCAAAGAACAUCCCUGCUCAUGGCUGCAAUUGACAAGGGCAGCACAGAUGGUGCUCAGCACCAUGGUUUGCUUUGUGAUUUAUAUUUAUAUUAAGAGGGCAAUUUGAUCCUCCAUAUAUUUAAGCAAGUGAAUUAACCAGGUUUUUUGAGAGCCUUUAAAAAAAUUGUCCAUCCUAUAAUUUGCUCUUCUCCUUCUUUUCAGAAAAUUAACAUCAUUGUUAUCAGCAAAUUAGCAAAUUAACAGCACUGUUAUCACCCCAAACCAACCAAAGUGUUGUUACUAGGUGACUUGCCAUUAAUAUUGGUUGAAUUGAAAAGACAAAACGAAACCAGCCAAACAAAAAGAGCGAACAACAAAAUAACUGAGUAUACAAGUGAAAUAAAAGAGGAGAAAAAUGAAAGGAAACAUUAAUGAAUGGAAAAAAAAAAUACCACAGAAUAGUUGCCAUGUUUUCUGCUCUGCUUCAUCCUUUCUACUUGGAAAUGGCCAACCACAACACUUGCCUGUGCCCUUCCCUUAUCUUGGUGGUGGAUAAGAGCUGGGAUGAAAGUCACUCACCUGGAAACCUCUCCUGGAAAUUAAACAGGUUUGAGUAGAGCAUUCAAUAGACUGCUUCUUGAGACACAGGUGGAAUUUCCACUUAGAAGUCUUGAUACCAAGAUUUUUAUUCUGAUCCCAUUGGUUUUUCUUCUCAGGCUGUUAAAACAUCAUCUUUCUUCAAAGUCUUAGAAAUAGAAUUAUCAACAAGGCUGAUUUUUAGAGAGAAUAAAAGCAACAAGGUGCUCUGAAGAGAGAAGCAGUAAAUGGUGUGUAACAGGUUUCCAGGUGGCUGCAUCAAAACCAGGAUUCAAUAGCCUAUACUGCCCUGGAAAGACACCAGACGUGGUGAUGUGAUGUCAAUCCCUCCAGCUCACCUUUCUCCUGGGGGUCUGUGCAGCUCCCUCUGGUCCCUCAGCUGCUGGAGGUUACCUUGGAGUCUACAAACUCUCAACACCACGACUCACUCUAUAAAUGUAAGUGCAGGGGGGGCUUUGCCAUUUUUUAGCCUCUCUUUUGAGCUAUAUUUCUAGGAGGAAGGAAAAUGUAAUGGCACAGGACCAGCCACAGACAACUGAUGAACCCCUGUGGUUUUAAAAUGAGCACUGACAGAAAAGAUGUCUACUGCCUGGUGCAACCAGCUUUUCAGAUGUGAACUGGGGGAACUGGGAAGAUCUGUGGUUCCUUUUUGGAGCUGACUGGGGAGAGGCAGAGGGGAAGAACCAGUGUGACUGCUCCAAUCUAGGACUGUUCUACCUGCUGGCCUUCAAUAGGUGAGCUGAAGGAAAAUACUGCAACUGUCAUCAAUUGUAUUGUUUUCUAAACAAUGUGAAUCUCUUUUUCUUAUUUUUUAAUCUUUGAGAAUAAAAUAGGCUCCAGAACUCAGAAACCCAGGGCAAAAUCUGUCUGUCUCUGUAUGUAAGUGCUGGACUUGCCAUGUGCUCCUAUAGGUAGAUAUCUGUGUGGCUCCACAAACUCACUAUCUUCCCUGGAGAGCUCUCAGUGUAUUUAAGUGAUCCAGAUGUGCUCCCUGGGAGGUGUGCCCCUGCUUCCAAGAAGGACUAAGAGACAGAGAUAGGUCUCAUUCUGCUUAAAUUCAGAUAUGUAACAUUUACUACCUAAAUCUCAGCUGCUUUUCUGGGCAAUAAACUUUUCUUCUUAUCUAACUUUAACAUUCACCUUUAGAAUCAUAGAAUCAUUUGUGUUGGAUGGGAGCUCUCAAGGUCAUCUAGCCCAGCUCCUCAGCAAUGAGCAGGGACACCUACAGCUCCAUCAGUGCUCAGAGCCCAAUCAAACCUGACCUUGAGUGUCUGCAGGGAUGGGGCAUCCCCCAUCUCUGGGCAACCGGUGCCAGUGCCUCA